RNAcentral lists this small RNA (28 nucleotides) under Bombyx mori (domestic silkworm). RNAcentral describes it as "ovarian small RNA-16508". The record is from RNAcentral. Lineage: Eukaryota; Metazoa; Arthropoda; Insecta; Lepidoptera; Bombycidae.
GCAGUAAAGUUUCACAAAACGCUUUGCA